Non-coding RNA from Hymenopellis radicata, 97 nucleotides. Lineage: Eukaryota; Fungi; Basidiomycota; Agaricomycetes; Agaricales; Physalacriaceae. The record is from the annotation of a GenBank genome assembly.
UCUCUGAUAGUAUAUCGGUUAGUACACGCGCCUGUCAUUCAGUUCGACUACCUACAUUGGUGCGCGCGAAAGCUGGGUUCGACUCCCAGUCAGAGAG